RNAcentral lists this ribosomal RNA (826 nucleotides) under uncultured crenarchaeote. RNAcentral's name for it is "bacterial SSU rRNA". It matches the Rfam family "Archaeal small subunit ribosomal RNA", at positions 21 to 853 of the family's 1478-position model. The record is from RNAcentral. Lineage: Archaea; Thermoproteati; Thermoproteota.
GCCUGACUGCUAUCGGAUUGAUACUAAGCCAUGCGAGUCAUUGUAGCAAUACAAGGCAGCCGGCUCAGUAACGCGUAGUCAACCUACCCUAUGGACGGGAAUAACCUCGGGAAACUGAGUAUAAUGCCCGAUAGAACACUAUACCUGGAAUGGUUUGUGUUCCAAAUGAUUUAUCGCCGUAGGAUGGGACUGCGGCCUAUCAGUUUGUUGGUGAGGUAAUGGCCCACCUAGACUAUUACAGGUACGGGCUCUGAGAGGAGUGGCCCGGAGAUGGGUACUGAGACACGGACCCAGGCCCUAUGGGGCGCAGCAGGCGAGAAAACUUUGCAAUGUGCGAAAGCACGACAAGGUUAAUCCGAGUGGUUUCUGCUAAAGGAACCUUUUGUUAGUCCUAGAAACACUAACGAAUAAGGGGUGGGCAAGUUCUGGUGUCAGCCGCCGCGGUAAAACCAGCACCUCAAGUGGUCAGGAUGAUUAUUGGGCCUAAAGCAUCCGUAGCCGGCUCUGUAAGUUUUCGGUUAAAUCUGUACGCUUAACGUACAGGCUGCCGGGAAUACUGCAGAGCUAGGGAGUGGGAGAGGUAGACGGUACUCGGGAGGAAGUGGUAAAAUGCUUUGAUCUCUCGAUGACCACCUGUGGCGAAGGCGGUCUACCAGAACACGUCCGACGGUGAGGGAUGAAAGCUGGGGGAGCAAACCGGAUUAGAUACCCGGGUAGUCCCAGCUGUAAACUAUGCAAACUCAGUGAUGCAUUGGCUUGUGGCCAAUGCAGUGUUGCAGGGAAGCCGUUAAGUUUGCCGCCUGGGAAGUACGUACGCAAGUAUGAA